AAUUUUAAACCAAAGUUACCCUCCUUCUUCGCUACCGGAAGAAGAUAGGCCUUCAAAUAGCAAUGAAAACCCUAGGUAUGAAUCCCUAGGUUCAGACUUCGAUUCAGUCACCAAAAAAAACCGAGAAACGAUGUCGGAAAGAUACCCAAACAUCCACAAGAUGAGAAUCGGACCACCAGAAUGCGGUAAAACACUAAAACAAAGUCACUGAAAACCCUAAUCACCGACAACUCACCAAAACCACCACAAAAGCGAUCAAAAUGUUGUUAAAC
Molecule: long non-coding RNA, 272 nt
Filed under: Nicotiana benthamiana
Lineage: Eukaryota; Viridiplantae; Streptophyta; Magnoliopsida; Solanales; Solanaceae
Description: long non-coding RNA (NBEN_LNC001518)
Source: RNAcentral